GCCCAAUGAUGAGACCAAGGCGAAUAUGAGUUUACUGAAUGAGAGAGUUGGGUUCCUCCCUUUUGUGGCAGGUAAUCUUGGUAGUGUAGAGGAGGCUUCCUGCUCUGCUGUAAGGGCCUGCCUACAGUCACAUGGCUUUACUCAAAUGAUUCCUCUAGAGUUACAGUAGAAAUCAUUGGGAGGAAGCUGACACUGUGUGUGUGUGUGCGUGCGUGCGCGUGAGUGGGUAUAGAAGAGGUAAGGAGUUCACCCAGCUCUCUCUGGUGUUUGGUUGACUGUGAGUAUUGUCUUUGGUAAUCUGAGGGCC
Molecule: small nucleolar RNA, 307 nt
Organism: Thalassophryne amazonica
Lineage: Eukaryota; Metazoa; Chordata; Actinopteri; Batrachoidiformes; Batrachoididae
Source: RefSeq, a predicted model, not a curated record